Molecule: ribosomal RNA, 503 nt
Filed under: uncultured bacterium
Lineage: Bacteria
Description: partial 16S ribosomal RNA
Rfam family: Bacterial small subunit ribosomal RNA
Source: RNAcentral
AACGAACGCUGGCGGCGUGCCUAACACAUGCAAGUCAAACGAGAAAGGGGCUUCGGCUCCGAGUAAAGUGGCGCACGGGUGAGUAACACGUGGGUAACCUGCCUCUAAGAUUGGGAUAACUCGUCGAAAGAUGAGCUAAUACCGAAUAAGACCACAGUUCCCGCGGGAACAGGGGUCAAAGGUAGCCUCUGCUUGCAAGCUAUCACUUAGAGAUGGGCCUGCGCACCAUUAGCUAGUUGGUAGGGUAACGGCCUACCAAGGCAAAGAUGGUUAGCUGGUCUGAGAGGAUGAUCAGCCACACUGGAACUGAGACACGGUCCAGACUCCUACGGGAGGCAGCAGUGGGGAAUAUUGCGCAAUGGGCGAAAGCUUGACGCAGCAACGCCGCGUGAGUGAUGAAGGCCUUCGGGUCGUAAAGCUCUGUCGGGAGGAACGAAUGCUCCUGAGGUUAACAGCCUCGGGAGGUGACGGUACCUUCAAAGGAAGCACCGGCUAACUCUGUG